GACGAACGCUGGCGGCGUGCCUAAUACAUGCAAGUAGAACGCACAGUUUAUACCGUAGCUUGCUACACCAUAGACUGUGAGUUGCGAACGGGUGAGUAACGCGUAGGUAACCUGCCUGGUAGCGGGGGAUAACUAUUGGAAACGAUAGCUAAUACCGCAUCAUAUUGAUUAUUGCAUGAUAAUUAAUUGAAAGGUGCAAUUGCACCACUACCAGAUGGACCUGCGUUGUAUUAGCUAGUAGGUGAGGUAACGGCUCACCUAGGCGACGAUACAUAGCCGACCUGGGAGGGUGAUCGGCCACGCUGGGACUGGGACACGGCCCAGACUCCUACGGGAGGCAGCAGUAGGGAAUCUUCGGCAAUGGACGAAAGUCUGACCGAGCAACGCCGCGUGAGGGAAGAAGGUUUUCGGAUCGUAAAGAUCAGUUGUAAGAGAAGAAAGGGUGUGAGAGUGGAAAGUUCACACUGUGACGGUAUCUUAACAGAAAGGGACGGCUAACUACGUG
RNAcentral lists this ribosomal RNA (505 nucleotides) under uncultured bacterium. RNAcentral describes it as "partial 16S ribosomal RNA". It matches the Rfam family "Bacterial small subunit ribosomal RNA", at positions 28 to 507 of the family's 1533-position model. The record is from RNAcentral.